GAGAAACCAAGUCUUUUGGAACUUUACCCUCCAUCAGUAAAUUUAGCCUUGUGUUUUCUUGAAAUACAGACUGCAACUCCUUCUGCAAGUCAGCUUGCAUUUUUUUGUAGUUCGCCUUUCCUGCUUCUAUUUGGCUUUGGUAAAGUUGCACAUCCUUUUGCAUUUGUUUGUGAUUAUUUAAGAGUUCAUUCAUCUGCUCCUUCAAUUCCAAAUUUUCUGUUCUGAGAAAAGCAGAUUCUUUCUUGGCAUCCAAGGCUACAGUUUCACUGUCUAAGAGGGAUUUACUCAGCUGCUGAAUUUCCUCGAUUAGUUUAUCAGAAUCUCCCACUGAAAGAGACAUAUCCUUUUUUUCCACAUCCACUUUCUGUAGUUCUUCCACUCGAUUUUGUAAUAUCUUUAUUUUGUCCUCUUUCUCUUUUAGUUGUUCCAGUUUGGACUUUAUUUCUAUCUCAAGUUCUUCAUUGUAGGCUUCAGCAUUUGAAAUAAUAUUCUUUAGGUUGGUAAUUUCAUGCAUUAGUUGUAUCUCAUGAUCUCUUUGUGUUUGUUUUUCC
Molecule: long non-coding RNA, 551 nt
Filed under: Gallus gallus (chicken)
Lineage: Eukaryota; Metazoa; Chordata; Aves; Galliformes; Phasianidae
Source: RNAcentral